AUUGAACGCUGGCGGCAGGCCUAACACAUGCAAGUCGAGCGGAUGAAGGGAGCUUGCUCCUGGAUUCAGCGGCGGACGGGUGAGUAAUGCCUAGGAAUCUGCCUGGUUGUGGGGGAUAAUGUCCGGAAACGGGCGCUAAUACCGCAUACGUCCUGAGGGAGAAAGUGGGGGAUCUUCGGACCUCACGCUAUCAGAUGAGCCUAGGUCGGAUUAGCUAGUUGGUGGGGUAAAGGCCUACCAAGGCGACGAUCCGUAACUGGUCUGAGAGGAUGAUCAGUCACACUGGAACUGAGACACGGUCCAGACUCCUACGGGAGGCAGCAGUGGGGAAUAUUGGACAAUGGGCGAAGGCCUGAUCCAGCCAUGCCGCGUGUGUGAAGAAGGUCUUCGGAUUGUAAAGCACUUUAAGUUGGGAGGAAGAGCAGUAAGUUAAUACCUUGCUGUUUUGACGUUACCAACAGAAUAAGCACCGGCUAACUUCGUG
This 484-nucleotide ribosomal RNA is filed under the name uncultured bacterium. Its description in RNAcentral is "partial 16S ribosomal RNA". It matches the Rfam family "Bacterial small subunit ribosomal RNA", at positions 30 to 507 of the family's 1533-position model. The record is from RNAcentral.